Poeciliopsis prolifica (blackstripe livebearer) is the source of this 363-nucleotide long non-coding RNA. RefSeq lists it as uncharacterized. The record is from RefSeq and is a predicted model, not a curated record. The transcript has 4 exons. NCBI's taxonomy places the organism in Eukaryota, Metazoa, Chordata, Actinopteri, Cyprinodontiformes, Poeciliidae.
GUCAGAGAUCGCUGAUCGGGGAUCUUCUAUAGAUCAACCUCUCAAUCAGACCUCAACCAAUGAUUACAGCUUGCCUUCUCAUGGUGAAGAUGAAGCCGGCGACGUCACAUACGCUCACAUUAAGUUCAAAAACACCAAACGGACGACCAAGUCCUCCAAACGAGGCCGAGUCCAACGCGGUACGCUGGAUACGAAAGCAGGGAGGAAUCGUGACCCAGAAGAGGGCGCUGUUUACUCCGAUGUGAGGACAGCGGCUGCAGAAGCAUUGAGUGCUGCAGCGGCUGACGCAGCGCUUUAUUCUGAAGUCAGGAAAGCCCCAAAGAAGAGAGUGAGCUAGUUGGGUUGACUAUGAACUGCAUGUUA